This 465-nucleotide ribosomal RNA is filed under the name Vreelandella stevensii. RNAcentral describes it as "partial 16S ribosomal RNA". It matches the Rfam family "Bacterial small subunit ribosomal RNA", at positions 338 to 795 of the family's 1533-position model. Lineage: Bacteria; Pseudomonadati; Pseudomonadota; Gammaproteobacteria; Oceanospirillales; Halomonadaceae. The record is from RNAcentral.
CCUACGGGUGGCAGCAGUGGGGAAUAUUGGACAAUGGGGGCAACCCUGAUCCAGCCAUGCCGCGUGUGUGAAGAAGGCCCUCGGGUUGUAAAGCACUUUCAGUGAGGAAGAACGCCUGGUGGUUAAUACCCAUCAGGAAAGACAUCACUCACAGAAGAAGCACCGGCUAACUCCGUGCCAGCAGCCGCGGUAAUACGGAGGGUGCGAGCGUUAAUCGGAAUUACUGGGCGUAAAGCGCGCGUAGGUGGCUUGAUAAGCCGGUUGUGAAAGCCCCGGGCUCAACCUGGGAACGGCAUCCGGAACUGUCAAGCUAGAGUGCAGGAGAGGAAGGUAGAAUUCCCGGUGUAGCGGUGAAAUGCGUAGAGAUCGGGAGGAAUACCAGUGGCGAAGGCGGCCUUCUGGACUGACACUGACACUGAGGUGCGAAAGCGUGGGUAGCAAACAGGAUUAGCUACCCUGGUAGUC